This 490-nucleotide long non-coding RNA is filed under the name Oryctolagus cuniculus (rabbit). RNAcentral describes it as "lncRNA (ENSOCUG00000031389.1)". Lineage: Eukaryota; Metazoa; Chordata; Mammalia; Lagomorpha; Leporidae. The record is from RNAcentral.
AUGGCUGGCAGGAGAAUUCAGCUUGCAUCGUCAAGGUCACCCCUAAUGAGGCGUCGCGAUGACCGGGGCCUGAGGCCAACUGUGCCGGGCCUGCCGCUGCCACAACCGGGCCUACCACCACCACAGCCGGGCCUGCCAUCGCCACAGCCGGGCAGCCUACCACCACCACAGCCGGGCCUGCCGCCGCCACAGCCGGGCCUUCCCUCACCACAGCCGGGGCUUCCGUACCGGGCCUGCCGUCACCACAGCCGGGCCUGCCGCACCGGGCCUGCCGUCACCCGCAGCUGGCCUGCCGCCCCGGAGGCGACCGCGUCAGCUCACCGAAAGUCCCGCCCCGGAGAGGCGCAGGCUCCCGUUCUCCUCCCGAAAAAGCAGCUGCGGACCCGCACCCGUCCCACAACGGGUGGCCGACCCGACUCGUGUCCCGGCCGCUGGGCUCCACGCGGGCCUUCCGCGUGCGGAGCCGCCCCUCCUCAGAACGGGCCCAGGA